CAGGAAGCUGGUCGCUUGUUAGCCUGCAGAAUAUGCUGUUUGUCGCCUUAGAUGCUCUUUAAAACAUUUCUGCCUUGGAGAGUUAUUGCUUUUUUACGGGAAGAAAAGGAUGUCAAUCAUUGAACUACUCAGCAGUCUGCUAUCAGGCCUACAUGACAAUUGUUUUCAAUAUCUUUUUUUAAUAUACCAAAUAAAACACUCAGGGUUCAUAAGAAAUCCAAAUACAUUCAUAAAUAAAUGCAUUAUUCAGCAGAGAUAACACAUGAAGCAUUUUUCAAAUGUGGUUAUAAAAUGGACUUAUAUCCUCCAAGUUCAGUAUGUUGCCCAUGCUUAACAUUAAUUGUGUUAAACAAUUAUUUUUAUAUGAAAUUAAAAAAAUACAUUUUAAACAGCACUAUGAAAAACAUCUGAACUUUUGGUGUUGACUGUCAUGUCUAGUUAAUUUAUAUCCUAUGGAACAUUUAAAAAACAGAAGUUGGCCCAAAGUGCUUAAUAAACAGGCACAUUAACAUUCCAGGUCCCAAAGAACCCUAUUUUUAAAAUAUGUGAAAUGCCAAAAGUAUGGUUUACAUUUUAGGACAUCCUAAGGUCUCAGAAAAACAUCGUCAAACAUCAGGUCAAACAACCUCAGACUUCAGACCACAGACAAAAAUGCAUCAUGUUUAUCUGAAAAAAACAAAACAAAACAAAACCCAUCAGACCUCUGAAUAAAGGCAUCAGACUAAAAGGUCUCAGAUCUCAGGACAAAAGCCAUCAGAGAGAAAGAAGCUUCCUGCAGGUGGCACUGUUGUCAGGCCACCAGAUUUCCAAAACAGUUUGGAAAUUUCAAGAUCAGACUACCUCAAGAUGUGCCAAUGAAUU
Molecule: long non-coding RNA, 861 nt
Organism: Oreochromis aureus
Lineage: Eukaryota; Metazoa; Chordata; Actinopteri; Cichliformes; Cichlidae
Exons: 3
Source: RefSeq, a predicted model, not a curated record